GUGAGGAGAAAGGUGACCCACAGAAGGGC
This 29-nucleotide non-coding RNA is filed under the name Homo sapiens (human). Lineage: Eukaryota; Metazoa; Chordata; Mammalia; Primates; Hominidae. The record is from RNAcentral.